AUAUCCUGGACACCUUGAGUUCUGGGCCCCACUACAAAUCCCUAUUUGGGGCCCCACUCUUGGCUGUACCCUGUUACAGUCUCAAGUGUCAUAAAUCAGUCAUUGUCCUCAGAGUAAGUAGCAGACAUCCUUUUGAAGGACACUUUCAUAGCUCUGCUUCUUGAUAUUGAGAGUGAAAGAAAAUGUCUUCCAUUUCAGGGCAACCAGUUCCACUUUUAUAACAGGCCAAAGUGUAUAUGUAUUGCCAUGCUUGAAACUUGAGGUGAAUUUUUCACAGAGGAAUAUUGGUUAUGUUUCUGAUAGCACAACUUUGGACUAUACUGAAGUUUAAAUAUUCCCUUAGAAGCAGUGUUUACUGGGCCUACUAUGCCAUGAUAGCUUUAUCGGUUGCAUAUCCUCACAUUGCUGCCCUUCCCCUUGUAAAUUGUAGCAAAAGCUUUGAACUUACCUUAACAUUAUUUGAAUAAUAGAGCAAUGAAGAUUUAGAAUUACUUCAUGUCUUAUGAAUAUGUUUUUGUUUUUUAAAUAGAAGUCAGAAAGAGGAGAAAUACCUAUUCCUUGCAAACCUGUUUGGUUUUAAAGUUUUAAGAAAGCUAUGUGAGUUAGGAAAAAGAUAAUACUUGUUGCAUAUAAAGUGCCUUCAAUGGCAGCUGCAUCUUGAAAACUUAGUGACAUUCAGGUGAGAUAACAGAAUCAACCCAGGAAGACUGGUGAUGAAAUAUGCUGUAUCUGUUGAAAUCAUUUUGUCAAUCCAGGCAGUACAUUAAUUCUCCUGAUUGGGUAGUUACUUUUAAACAUUUUUUGACAAAAAGAGUAAGACAGUCUAUAUGCAUUAGUAAGAAUUCUUAAGGUUUUCAAGUGGCAAAAACCCAAUUUGUACUACUUUAAGCAAAAAGGGAGAUUGGCUCUGAAGA
This is a long non-coding RNA of Phyllostomus discolor (pale spear-nosed bat), 914 nucleotides long. RefSeq lists it as uncharacterized. The record is from RefSeq and is a predicted model, not a curated record. Lineage: Eukaryota; Metazoa; Chordata; Mammalia; Chiroptera; Phyllostomidae. The transcript is spliced from 2 exons.